Molecule: ribosomal RNA, 492 nt
Filed under: uncultured bacterium
Lineage: Bacteria
Description: partial 16S ribosomal RNA
Rfam family: Bacterial small subunit ribosomal RNA
Source: RNAcentral
AGUGAACGCUGGCGGUAGGCCUAACACAUGCAAGUCGAACGGCGGCACAGUAAGAGCUUGCUCUUACGGGUGGCGAGUGGCGGACGGGUGGGGAAUACAUCGGAAUCUACUUUUUCGUGGGGGAUAACGUAGGGAAACUUACGCUAAUACCGCAUACGACCUACGGGUGAAAGCAGGGGAUCUUCGGACCUUGCGCGAUUGAAUGAGCCGAUGUCGGAUUAGCUAGUUGGCGGGGUAAAGGCCCACCAAGGCGACGAUCCGUAGCUGGUCUGAGAGGAUGAUCAGCCACACUGGAACUGAGACACGGUCCAGACUCCUACGGGAGGCAGCAGUGGGGAAUAUUGGACAAUGGGCGCAAGCCUGAUCCAGCCAUACCGCGUGGGUGAAGAAGGCCUUCGGGUUGUAAAGCCCUUUUGUUGGGAAAGAAAAGCAGCAGGUUAAUACCCCGCUGUUCUGACGGUACCCAAAGAACAAGCACCGGCUAACUUCGUG